UUUUUUUUUUUUUUUUUUUUAAAGAUAAUAAAAUAACAGUACAGAUUCGUAAAAUUCACUGAGCAUUUAGCACUUCAUCUUUUUUUCUUUCCUUUCUUGUCUCUUCAGGACCAUUGUUAAUACUAUAGCAAACCUAUUAGUGUGUUAUAAAGUUACCAGCUGUGACCAAACAUACUUUUAUUUGCUUCUUUGUAUAUCUAGGUUAUAUUAUUGAAAUGGAUAGAUCUCUUACUAUUCCGACGGCAAACAUGUAUGAAUCCGACCAAUCAUAUUUCUAUUGUUGAAACCCCCCCCCCAAAAAAAAGAAAAACCCUAUAUAUGAUACCAGGUAUUUAUCUUUUAUCUCAGUAGUGCUCGGAUGAGUGUUACACAUUUGGAACUUCAGUACACAAAGGAUGGUGCUUACAAUGACUCCUCAUACACAUACAAAAUGUCUAUAUUGAAAAUUGCUUUUUACUAUUGCCAACUUUAUAUAUUUUGCAGCAUGAAACAAAAUAAUUCUAAAUGUACAUAAGUUUCUGUGUCAUUCCUUCCCGACAGACGGAUGAUAAUUUUCUGAAUUUGUUUCCUAGCUUGCAUGAAUAGCAGUUGCAUUUUUUUCAAUGCUGAACUUAAUAAAAGCUCAGACAGAGGACAAGAUAUGUAACAUUUCAUAAUAACUGCUGAAAUUCUAUAACUUGAGUGCAGACAGGGCUGGUGAAGAAAGGAGAGGAUCCAGCAUCACAAGUCCUGGUGCAGCAUUCCAAGAAUGGAGGACUAGCGACCCAAUGUGGCAAAGCCAAUUGUUGCACCCAGGGUCGCAGAGGAAAUUCUGGAUGCUUGGCUAUUACAAAGGAUUUUUGAAAGGCUCUUUAUUUUUGUGAACUGGAUUCAGAAUCAACCACUGAGCACCUACUGUGGUCUAGAUAAAUUUAUAUACCUGUUACUUCAACAUCUUUUGUUUUUAGGUUGACAUACCUGAUAUAUUGGUUCAGGGGAAAUUUUACAAGCAUUGAUAGUUUUGAUAUGCUGUGCCCUUGAGAACUGAAAUAACAGACAAUAACCUUGAGUUGUUGUUGCUGUUUAAUCUGACUAGUUAUUGAUAACAUUAAUAUAGGCUGAGCCAACACUUUAAACAUUUUAGACAACAGGGGAGAAAUAUCACUACUCAAAAAACCCCAACCUUCGUAUAUUUUAUAUUUCAUAAAGCAGAUUUUGCUGGGUUAGUACUUUUGUUUUAAUGUACUUUCAACUAGUUUUCCUAAGAAUGGAAGAUUGGGAGGCCAAGGCAGGCAGAUAUUUUGAGGCCAGGAGUCCGAGACCAGCCUGGCCAACGUGGUGAAACUCCUUCUCUACUAAAAAUACAAAAAUUAGCUGGUUGUGGUGGCACAUGCCUGUAAUCCUAACUACUGGGAAGACUGAGGCAGGAGAAUCAAUUGAACCUGGGAGAUGGAGGUUGCAGUGAGCCGAGACCAUGCCACUGCACUCUAGUCUGGGUGACAGAGCAAGACUCUGUUUCACAAAAAAAAAAAAAAAAAAAAAAAAAAAAAAAAAAAAGAAGAAUCAAAGAAAACAAACUGCUAUGCUGUAAGUCAAUGGAAAUAACGUCAUGAAUGUGGAGAAUGCCCGUCCCCUGACAUAGUUCUCUUAGAAGCCUGAAUAGAUUUUCUUUCUGAACAAUCCCAUCCUCCAGCAAUUCAAUACUUCAGGGCUAAUAAUCUUAGUGUCCUAUUACAUUUUUUAUUGAUUAAAAUUUAUUAAAGACUUCAAAAGUGUGCACUUCUAUCUGUGUCAACAUGUGAUUUGUCCUGAAACAUCAGAUGUACUGUGAAGUUUAUUUCCUUUGAAAUUCAUUUCAAUGGCUUAUUAUUAAAUGAAGCCGUGGUUCCAAUGGGACAUCAAGAGAUCAAGCCAACCUGAAAUUACAAAUGAACAAACACACGAAUGACCAGUCUAGUAUUUUUCCAAAUUAUCAAAUGGUGCAAAACCUGACUUUAAGCAAAAUCAUGUAAGUGUGACUUUCUUCUUCUUUGUGCUUACGAUUCUCCUGCACAGUGUGGUUACUCUGCACACAGUUCAGGACAGUCUUAAAUCUGGGGAGGAGACAGUCCCAUCUCAGGCUUUCCAGAGGCUAGGGGGUGUGGUCCUCAUCAACCCUUUUGAACCGUUUUGUUUUCUGAUAAACGCUGAACAAGUGGAACAAAUAUUUUACUCUCUUAGCCUAGAUAGGUAUUUUACUUCUAGGACAUAUUAUCUUCAAAUAUGAGAGAUGUUGGAGAUAGUAUUGAAGAGAGAUAUCAAUGUUCAGCAAUAUCAAAAUCUAGUUAAUUUGCUGUAUAUAAAUUACUUGGCAUUUAAAUGCUACAUUGAUUUAAAUGGAUAACUGUGUAUUAUAAACUCACAAAUAGCAUCUCUUCAAUAUUUAAUUAUUAGAAAGCAUCUCAAUAUUUUAUAACUCUUCAGCUACUAGUCAAACACAUCAUAAAAACAGAUUGGAAGAAGAAAUAUUUGGGGAUUUGAUAUACGUCUACAGUGACAGCUAUAAUAAUGGGGACAACAGUUGACAUAGGGUACUUAUGCAUGCUAUGCUGUUUAUAUCACAUGUGUUAGCUCAGAUUUGCAAACUUUUCUUGUAAAGGGUCCAGUAAUAAAUGUAUUCUCCAGUUUAGUGGGACAUAUAGUCUCUGUCUCCCAACUACUCAACUCUACCCUUACAGAGCAAAAGUAGUCAUAAAUGGAUAAGCAUGGGCUGUGUCCUAAUAAAACUUAGUUUAAGGUCACUGAAGUGUGAAUUUCGUAUCGUUUUUUUUCUCUUUCUCUCUUUCUUGGACUUGCUUUGUCACCCAGGCUGGAGUGCAUUGGGGAGAUCACGGCUUACUGUAGCUUUACAUUCCCGGGCUCAAGCCAUCCUCUCACCCUAGUCUCCAGAGUAGCUAGGGGGGAUGUACCACCAUACCCAGAUAAUUUUUAAAUUUUUUUGUAAAGACGGAGAGGGGUGGGUGGUCUCCCUGUGU
Molecule: long non-coding RNA, 2993 nt
Organism: Macaca fascicularis (crab-eating macaque)
Lineage: Eukaryota; Metazoa; Chordata; Mammalia; Primates; Cercopithecidae
Source: Ensembl